GAUGGUAGGAUAGUGGCCUACCAUGGUUUCAACGGGUAACGGGGAAUUAGGGUUCGAUUCCGGAGAGGGGGCCUGAGAAACGGCCACCACAUCCAAGGAAGGCAGCAGGCGCGCAAAUUACCCAAUCCCGACACGGGGAGGUAGUGACAAUAAAUACUGAUACAGGGCUCUUUUGGGUCUUGUAAUUGGAAUGAGUACAAUUUAAAUACCUUAACGAGGAACAAUUGGAGGGCAAGUCUGGUGCCAGCAGCCGCGGUAAUUCCAGCUCCAAUAGCGUAUAUUUUUGUUGUUGCAGUUAAAAAGCUCGUAGUUGAACCUUGGCCCUGGCUAGCCGGUCCGCCUCACCGCGAUUUCUGGUCCGGCCGGGGCUUUCCUCCUGGGGAUCCGCAUGGCCUUUGCUGGUCGUGUCGGGGAACCAGGACUUUUACUUUGAAAAAAUUAGAGUGUUCAAAGCAGGCAUCCGCUCGAAUACAUUAGCAUGGAAUAAUGGAAUAGGACGUGUGGUUCUAUUUCGUUGGUUUCUAGGACCACCGUAAUGAUUAAUAGGGAUAGUCGGGGGCAUCAGUAUUCGAUUGUCAGAGGUGAAAUUCUUGGAUUUAUCGAAGACUAACUACUGCGAAAGCAUUUGCCAAGGAUGUUUUCAUUAAUCAGGAACGAAAGUUAGGGGAUCGAAGACGAUCAGAUACCGUCGUAGUCUUAACCAUAAACUAUGCCGACUAGGGAUCGGACGAUGUUUACUUUAUGACUCGUUCGGCACCUUACGAGAAAUCAUAAGUGUUUGGGUUCUGGGGGGAGUAUGGUCGCAAGGCUGAAACUUAAAGAAAUUGACGGAAGGGCACCACCAGGAGUG
RNAcentral lists this ribosomal RNA (850 nucleotides) under uncultured fungus. Its description in RNAcentral is "SSU rRNA". It matches the Rfam family "Eukaryotic small subunit ribosomal RNA", at positions 324 to 1178 of the family's 1831-position model. The record is from RNAcentral. Lineage: Eukaryota; Fungi.